Molecule: ribosomal RNA, 253 nt
Filed under: uncultured bacterium
Lineage: Bacteria
Description: partial 16S ribosomal RNA
Rfam family: Bacterial small subunit ribosomal RNA
Source: RNAcentral
UACGUAGGGUGCAAGCGUUAAUCGGAAUUACUGGGCGUAAAGCGUGCGCAGGCGGUUAUGCAAGACAGAUGUGAAAUCCCCGGGCUCAACCUGGGAACUGCAUUUGUGACUGCAUAGCUGGAGUGCGGCAGAGGGGGAUGGAAUUCCGCGUGUAGCAGUGAAAUGCGUAGAUAUGCGGAGGAACACCGAUGGCGAAGACAAUCCCCUGGGCCUGCACUGACGCUCAUGCACGAAAGCGUGGGGAGCAAACAGG